GGUUUUUCUUUAGCAGGAUGCAUUGGAACACCAACACCAACUUCCAUUGUUCGUGAAGCUAAUGCAGGUGGAGAAUAACGUCCAUCAUUCAUGUCUGAUUCUGCUUCACGUUGUUCUCCAUGAAUUACUGCUAUUCCCAGACGUAAUCUUUCUGCAUAACUAGUAGCCUUCUUUGCACUACCAGGAUUUCUUGCAACUAUCACUGAAUUGUGAUAGUCUGGUAUCUGAUUAAAUAAAAUUCAAAAUUAAAAAAUCUAUAAUGAUUAUUUUUAAUGGUAUUUUUUACAUACAGAUUCUUGAAUAUAUUGUAAUAAAAAUGGACUAGCUCGCAAAUUAUCCACUGGUACAUCAAAAAAUCCUUGAAUUUCUUUUUGAUGUAAAUCCAUUGUAAUUAUAUGUGUUAAACCACUUUUACAAAGCAUUUUUGCUAAUAGUUUAGAAACUAUACAUCCUCGCUUACGCAUUUUGCAUUGUUUUGAAUAAGAAUCUCCAAUUUCAACCAUGGUUUCACGAUUUGAUUUAUGAUAUACAGAACAUCCUCCAUGUUUAACACCUAAUCGACUAUAAAAUAGUUAAUAUAAAUUAAUAAAUUAAUAAAUUGUUAUUAUAUAAAUUAUUAUGACAUAUAUUUAUGAAAACCUACUUGGCAAUGAGAUUAGCCAAUUCUGGAUGAGAAUUACCCGCAAUGAGUACAAUAUCUGAUGAUACAGG
This 711-nucleotide long non-coding RNA is filed under the name Apis mellifera (honey bee). Its description in RNAcentral is "uncharacterized LOC102654498". Lineage: Eukaryota; Metazoa; Arthropoda; Insecta; Hymenoptera; Apidae. The record is from RNAcentral.